ACCAGCCAUGCCGCGUUGUGUGAAGAAGGCCUUAUGGUUGUAAAGCACUUUAAGCGAGGAGGAGGCUACUGAGACUAAUACUCUUGGAUAGUGGACGUUACUCGCAGAAUAAGCACCGGCUAACUCUGUGCCAGCAGCCGCGGUAAUACAGAGGGUGCGAGCGUUAAUCGGAUUUACUGGGCGUAAAGCGUGCGUAGGCGGCUUUUUAAGUCGGAUGUGAAAUCCCCGAGCUUAACUUGGGAAUUGCAUUCGAUACUGGGAAGCUAGAGUAUGGGAGAGGAUGGUAGAAUUCCAGGUGUAGCGGUGAAAUGC
RNAcentral lists this ribosomal RNA (312 nucleotides) under uncultured bacterium. Its description in RNAcentral is "bacterial SSU rRNA". It matches the Rfam family "Bacterial small subunit ribosomal RNA", at positions 387 to 689 of the family's 1533-position model. The record is from RNAcentral.